Molecule: ribosomal RNA, 477 nt
Filed under: uncultured bacterium
Lineage: Bacteria
Description: partial 16S ribosomal RNA
Rfam family: Bacterial small subunit ribosomal RNA
Source: RNAcentral
GAUGAACGCUGGCGGCGUGCUUAACACAUGCAAGUCGAACGGGAAAUAUUUCAUUGAGACUUCGGUGGAUUUGAUUUAUUUCUAGUGGCGGACGGGUGAGUAACGCGUGGGUAACCCGCCUUAUACAGGGGGAUAACAGUCAGAAAUGGCUGCUAAUACCGCAUAAGCGCACAGAGCUGCAUGGCUCAGUGUGAAAAACUCCGGUGGUAUAAGAUGGACCCGCGUUGGAAUAGCUAGUUGGUGGGGUAACGGCCCACCAAGGCGACGAUCCAUAGCCGGCCUGAGAGGGUGAACGGCCACAUUGGGACUGAGACACGGCCCAGACUCCUACGGGAGGCAGCAGUGGGGAAUAUUGCACAAUGGGGGAAACCCUGAUGCAGCGACGCCGCGUGAAGGAAGAAGUAUCUCGGUAUGUAAACUUCUAUCAGCAGGGAAGAUAGUGACGGUACCUGACUAAGAAGCCCCGGCUAACUACGU